RNAcentral lists this unclassified non-coding RNA (378 nucleotides) under plant metagenome. Its description in RNAcentral is "partial contains 5.8S ribosomal RNA, internal transcribed spacer 2, and large subunit ribosomal RNA". The stretch from base 1 to 105 matches the Rfam family "5.8S ribosomal RNA", at positions 50 to 154 of the family's 154-position model. The record is from RNAcentral.
GAAAUGCGAUAAGUAAUGUGAAUUGCAGAAUUCAGUGAAUCAUCGAAUCUUUGAACGCACCUUGCGCCCCUUGGUAUUCCUUGGAGCAUGCCUGUUUGAGUAUCAUGAAAUCUUCAAAGUAAAUCUUUUGUUAACUCAAUUGGUUUCUACUUUGGUAUUGGAGGUCUUUGCAGCUUCACACCCGCUCCUCUUUGUUCAUUAGCUGGAUCUCAGUGUUAUGCUUGGUUCCACUCGGCGUGAUAAGUUAUCUAUCGCUGAGGACACUGUAAAAGGUGGCCAAGGUAAAUGCAGAUGAACCGCUUCUAAUAGUCCAUUGACUUGGACAAUACUUUUAUGAUCUGAUCUCAAAUCAGGUAGGACUACCCGCUGAACUUAAGC